Long non-coding RNA from Hibiscus syriacus, 166 nucleotides. RefSeq lists it as uncharacterized. The transcript is spliced from 4 exons. The record is from RefSeq and is a predicted model, not a curated record. Lineage: Eukaryota; Viridiplantae; Streptophyta; Magnoliopsida; Malvales; Malvaceae.
CUUGCAUCCAUAGCUCAUGGCUAAAGACCUAAACCUUGCUGCAGCAUCAGCAGAAGAAGUUGCUCAAAAAUGUCCAUUGACAUUUCUAGCACAGCACAUAUAUAGAGAGAUCUGCAAGGAUGGUCAUGAAAAUGAAGACUUCUCAUGCGUGUUAUUAUUACUCUGG